CCUACGGGUGGCAGCAGUGAGGAAUCUUGGUCAAUGGACGGAAGUCUGAACCAGCCAAGUAGCGUGCAGGAUGACGGCCCUAUGGGUUGUAAACUGCUUUUAUGUGGGAAUAAAGUGGCGCACGCGUGCGCCAUUGCAUGUACCUCAUGAAUAAGGACCGGCUAAUUCCGUGCCAGCAGCCGCGGUAAUACGGAAGGUCCGGGCGUUAUCCGGAUUUAUUGGGUUUAAAGGGAGUGUAGGCGGUCUGUUAAGCGUGUUGUGAAAUUUAGGUGCUCAACAUUUAACUUGCAGCGCGAACUGGCAGACUUGAGUACACGCAGCGCAGGCGGAAUUCAUGGUGUAGCGGUGAAAUGCUUAGAUAUCAUGAGGAACUCCGAUCGCGAAGGCAGCCUGCGGGAGUGUUACUGACGCUUAAGCUCGAAGGUGCGGGUAUCGAACAGGAUUAGAUACCCCAGUAGUC
RNAcentral lists this ribosomal RNA (460 nucleotides) under uncultured Prevotella sp. RNAcentral describes it as "bacterial SSU rRNA". It matches the Rfam family "Bacterial small subunit ribosomal RNA", at positions 338 to 795 of the family's 1533-position model. Lineage: Bacteria; Pseudomonadati; Bacteroidota; Bacteroidia; Bacteroidales; Prevotellaceae. The record is from RNAcentral.